Long non-coding RNA from Hordeum vulgare subsp. vulgare (domesticated barley), 1065 nucleotides. RefSeq lists it as uncharacterized. Lineage: Eukaryota; Viridiplantae; Streptophyta; Magnoliopsida; Poales; Poaceae. The transcript has 2 exons. The record is from RefSeq and is a predicted model, not a curated record.
GGAGCCCUGGCCGGUUUAGACAUCGCCCGGUAAGAUAAAAAGCGUACCUGCUCGGUCGAGCCGAACAGUCCACCUUUCACCUCACCCACGAAACCCCAAGGCGCCGUCCCGCCGUCGCCGUCGCCGACGCCUCGAUCCGUCGCCUCCUGCCCCCGUCCACCUCUCACGCGCGCCGGCCCCGUCGGAAUAGCCUUUCCCUUUGGUUUCGAGGUGCUUUGUUAUUGUAGGAUUUAUUAGGAUGCCUCGAGUUGGAGACCCGGAUGCAUCUUCUAUCUUGAGAGUGACCUAUGAGUUGGGAUACCUUGCUUCGAUCAUCGCAGGAUGUUGGGUUGAUGGGAACAUAUAUAAACAUGGCCUUGGUUGUGUGUCAGCCUUCAGGAAAUGGAGCGCACACGUUAAAGCUAUAGGGGGGCCUUUCAUGUUAGUCAACUCUGUGUUGUUGAUUCUUGACAAAACCAACUCACCAUAUGCACGACCUUUUAGCUUUUUAUAGAACCGCACUUAUUGGACAUGACACUUCGCAUAAGAGAAAAGUGGUCUUUGCUCAUCAUAUAGAGUAGGCAUAUCUAUAUUAUUUGCCUCUCCUUGUAUAAUUUGCCCUUCUCUACGAUCUUUGUCUUUUCAUGAUUUCUCUUCUCUAUAGAUGGAGAAAUUUGGGAAAGAAAAGGUAAUGAAAAGGAGCGCAUGAUGCCUACAGAGAGAUAAAUAAUAGUGGCGUGUUAGGGCAGUUACUAUAAUAAUAAGAUGCAUUUCCGUCCCCCUUAGUUUUCCCUGAAUAAUAAUUAAAAAAUAUAUGGCUAUUGAUGGGCAGAUGAUCAGUUUUCUCUUCACAGGACCAAGGCACUCUUGGAGACCUGUGGUUUUGUGUAAUGUCAUGUCGAAGAAAGUGUGCUUUUGCUAGAUGCAUGCACUUUAAAGUGCGGUUUUUAUGAAACUUUAUGUCAAAUAUAGUGUGGAAAGGAUAGUUUGUUCUUUUUAAUGAAAUGUGGCUGUGAGAAAUUGACUUGUGAUGUAAUACUCUGUUUUUGUAUGGUUGCCAAAUAUUGGAUAUUCGUCCAUGAAGUA